Molecule: ribosomal RNA, 505 nt
Filed under: Penicillium citreonigrum
Lineage: Eukaryota; Fungi; Ascomycota; Eurotiomycetes; Eurotiales; Aspergillaceae
Description: eukaryotic LSU rRNA
Rfam family: 5.8S ribosomal RNA (bases 140-293)
Source: RNAcentral
GUGUUUAUCGUACCUUGUUGCUUCGGCGGGCCCGCCGCAAGGCCGCCGGGGGGCAUCUGCCCUCUGGCCCGCGCCCGCCGAAGACACCAUUGAACGCUGUCUGAAGAUUGCAGUCUGAGCAAUUAGUUAAAUAACUUAAAACUUUCAACAACGGAUCUCUUGGUUCCGGCAUCGAUGAAGAACGCAGCGAAAUGCGAUACGUAAUGUGAAUUGCAGAAUUCAGUGAAUCAUCGAGUCUUUGAACGCACAUUGCGCCCCCUGGUAUUCCGGGGGGCAUGCCUGUCCGAGCGUCAUUGCUGCCCUCAAGCACGGCUUGUGUGUUGGGCUCCGUCCUCCUCCCGGGGGACGGGCCCGAAAGGCAGCGGCGGCACCGCGUCCGGUCCUCGAGCGUAUGGGGCUUCGUCACCCGCUCUGUAGGCCCGGCCGGCGCUUGCCGACACAUCAAUCUUUUUUCCAGGUUGACCUCGGAUCAGGUAGGGAUACCCGCUGAACUUAAGCAUAUCAA